UACAGAGGGAGCAAGCGUUGUUCGGAAUUACUGGGCGUAAAGGGCGCGUAGGCGGUCCGAUAAGUCCCGUGUGAAAUCCCUCGGCUCAACUGAGGAACUGCACGGGAAACUGACGGGCUUGAGUUCGGGAGAGGGAAGCGGAAUUCCGGGUGUAGCGGUGAAAUGCGUAGAUAUCCGGAGGAACACCGGUGGCGAAGGCGGCUUCCUGGACCGACACUGACGCUGAGGCGCGAAAGCUAGGGGAGCAAACGGG
This 253-nucleotide ribosomal RNA is filed under the name uncultured bacterium. RNAcentral describes it as "partial 16S ribosomal RNA". It matches the Rfam family "Bacterial small subunit ribosomal RNA", at positions 524 to 776 of the family's 1533-position model. The record is from RNAcentral.